UUUAUUGCUCCCCGCCAUUCAACGGGCGGCGCCAGGCUCCUCGCGGUCCAGCCAUCAUAUGGCGGCACCGUCGCCGUUAAAGCGGGCGCUUAGUGAUCUUUGAACACGAAACGUGCUCCAAAGAGAGCCAGCGACCGCCGCAACAAAUUCAGCGCAGCCAAACCUGGACGGCGCAGACGUGGAAGUUGCGACUUCUCAGAUUGAUACGGAGGAACUGAACCGCUGCAGGGAGCGAACUGGACCCUCGUUUUGUAAUGUUUUCAUUUCACUUUCUGUUCUUAUUCGUCGCAGCGACGUCCGAGCUAAUGACGUAGGGCGAGAAUAAUCAAGAAUGGGCCAUUAUAAACUACGGCCACUGCUUUCAUAAAUCCCCAUAUUAUGAGAGCAAAAACGCACGUCUUCUAAAGGCGGAACCGCAUGGCGCGAUUUCAGGCGCGAUUGACGCGCGGGUGGUGGGACGCGCGCGUCAUUUUGACGCGUGCCCAGCAGGGUCCAUCACGAAAUCGCGCCGCCGCGUGCUGCUGCUCGGAGUAGAAAAAAACAUAGAGUUAGUAGAACAACUCUAGAGGAAAAGCUGGGCCGGAAAAGUGGGAACCUCUAGGGCGCCGCCCUGUUGCUACUGGUCAAUGUGGCCAGCGCAAUUACUAUUGAAAGAGCUGAGAACAAGUACAGGUCACCUUAUGCUUUGUCACCUAAAAACGCAUACCUGAUGGCUUUAUGAAGGUGGUACGUUAAUAUUAAGUUUACAGAAAGCGAUCGCUAAGUCCGUGACUUAUGUAAAUCACGAUGUACGCAUUCAUGCAAUAAAAGAUGACGCGAAUUUCGGUUUCGAAUCUGUUUUUUGGAUGCGUAGUAGUUUCGUUUGACAUGCGAUCGCGCGUCGACAUCGGACGCUAUGACACACUCGUGCCUUAUGUGCCACCGAAGCCCCGAAGUGGUCUGGCAUAUACCUUCACAUAUAUGCAAUGGCAAGCCCUUCCGUGUGUUCCAAAGACAAUGCCUACGCCUAGCCACAGCAGCUCCCUCAUACAGACUCCGCAAACCAAGAGGCCGUGGAGGCAAAUGCAGGCAGCCAGCACACCUCGAACAGCCACCUUGACUGCGGGUGUGUCACCCUAGUCGCCAAGGAAACAUUUGAGGGAAAGUGACAGGCAAUGUCAACAGCCACUCCUCCAUGUAAACAAUACUCUUUCUCUCGGAUGACUCCUACGCCUCACCACGCCAGCACACUUGUGCACAAAGAUGCCGCAGAGGCACGUGCAGGUCAGAGGCAAGAAGCAGUGGCACUGGUGUCGACAUUUACCCAAUUUCUUUUUCUUACACUGAGGCAGCCAGCACACCUCGACUGCAGGUGUGUUAGUUGAUCCCUGUUGUACAUAUGCUCAUAAUAAACUUCAGUAAACUUGAACUUCAUAAUAAACUUGAAGGCAAAUGGUACAUUGAUGCAUUGUAUUUUUGAACAUUUAUUGUACACAUACAAUAUAUGUUAUACUUUGCAGUGCUACAGAGCGUAUUUUGAAGCUUCCCCCUAUAUUUUGCACCUUUAAUUACGUAUGUGUUGUGUGGCCCUCAAUGCAGUUCAUGUUGUAGCAGCUGCUUUGUCUGUGUAUCGCACAUUGGCUUAAGCUCGUGAUACCCACGUACUUCUCUCACAUAUACAAAAUAAAGUUCUAUGUAGUCCUCAGUGUUACAACAAAAAAUGAAAGUAAACAAUCCGAUCGUGGAAUUAUGUUUAUUACAGUGAUUCCUACGACAGUUACUGACAAGUUGACAACUUGAACUGGUCAAUCGGUCCAUAGCCUCCUCUAUUUUUCAAAAAUAAAGGAGGCUAUGAUCCGUCAUGGCAAGGAAUUGUAUGUAUACAUAAAAAAAAGGGGGUAUGUGUGUGUUUGUAGUGGGGGUAUAGGAUUAGGGCGGUACGAAAAAAUGUACCAACACCGUCCUCUAGACCCAUUCCGUUGAGGUACCGUAACAAAACGUAUUAUGCAUAAAGUUCAUACAACCAACUCUGAUAUUACUACAGACGCCAGGCGACGCGAGCUACAUUUGUCAUGAUGCAUUCGCGACUGCACCGGAUGCCCUCCACAUUAUUCUCGUUAAUCGUGCUCACUGCGCCGAGGCAAAAGAAAGACCAUGGGCGCAGGUGCCUUUAAUGUAUCUCGACCUUGCGAGGCACGGCUGCGCGUGCCAGGGGAGCUGUCCGUGCGAACACUCCCUGGCACACACCUGCCUCGGCGGCCCCAACCUACGUACCGUUCUGCUUCGAGCUUUGAUCCCCCCACUGUCCCUCGGGUGCCCUGGAGUUCCUGCGCCGCCUGCUCUACUACCAUCUCAGGUGCUCUCCUGAGACUUCCGUUUGUCGGUUACAUGUGCCCUACAGCUGGAUCAUUACUUAUAAUAAUAAAAAACCCGAUCUAUCGUCACGACGAUAGAUCGCGAAAGCGGCUUUUGCAACAUACCGCGCCCGUGCGAAGAUAAUUACGGAACGCCAACGAGGAGUCUGACCACAGCUUCGAGCUCGUAACGUCGUCGAGUGACACUCCUGCAACAGGCGUGACCGCUGAAAACCGCAUACCGCCAGAAGCUUGAACAGGAUCAUCCCUCGGUUGCAUAACUGCCAGCUCUACGGCCAACAUGGACCACACCCACACCAUCCCGCAACAUAGAAUAAAGAACCGGCUUAUGAAGCCCAAACAAACGGCUGCACGCACACAGCACAACUCUUCAAGCGAGACGCCAUGCUGCUACGCUGCUACUGUUGCCGGAUU
Dermacentor albipictus is the source of this 2768-nucleotide long non-coding RNA. RefSeq lists it as uncharacterized. NCBI's taxonomy places the organism in Eukaryota, Metazoa, Arthropoda, Arachnida, Ixodida, Ixodidae. The record is from RefSeq and is a predicted model, not a curated record.